RNAcentral lists this ribosomal RNA (950 nucleotides) under Bacillus tequilensis. RNAcentral describes it as "bacterial SSU rRNA". It matches the Rfam family "Bacterial small subunit ribosomal RNA", at positions 52 to 987 of the family's 1533-position model. The record is from RNAcentral. Lineage: Bacteria; Bacillati; Bacillota; Bacilli; Caryophanales; Bacillaceae.
UACAUGCAAGUCGAGCGGACAGAUGGGAGCUUGCUCCCUGAUGUUAGCGGCGGACGGGUGAGUAACACGUGGGUAACCUGCCUGUAAGACUGGGAUAACUCCGGGAAACCGGGGCUAAUACCGGAUGGUUGUUUGAACCGCAUGGUUCAAACAUAAAAGGUGGCUUCGGCUACCACUUACAGAUGGACCCGCGGCGCAUUAGCUAGUUGGUGAGGUAACGGCUCACCAAGGCAACGAUGCGUAGCCGACCUGAGAGGGUGAUCGGCCACACUGGGACUGAGACACGGCCCAGACUCCUACGGGAGGCAGCAGUAGGGAAUCUUCCGCAAUGGACGAAAGUCUGACGGAGCAACGCCGCGUGAGUGAUGAAGGUUUUCGGAUCGUAAAGCUCUGUUGUUAGGGAAGAACAAGUACCGUUCGAAUAGGGCGGUACCUUGACGGUACCUAACCAGAAAGCCACGGCUAACUACGUGCCAGCAGCCGCGGUAAUACGUAGGUGGCAAGCGUUGUCCGGAAUUAUUGGGCGUAAAGGGCUCGCAGGCGGUUUCUUAAGUCUGAUGUGAAAGCCCCCGGCUCAACCGGGGAGGGUCAUUGGAAACUGGGGAACUUGAGUGCAGAAGAGGAGAGUGGAAUUCCACGUGUAGCGGUGAAAUGCGUAGAGAUGUGGAGGAACACCAGUGGCGAAGCGACUCUCUGGUCUGUAACUGACGCUGAGGAGCGAAAGCGUGGGGAGCGAACAGGAUUAGAUACCCUGGUAGUCCACGCCGUAAACGAUGAGUGCUAAGUGUUAGGGGUUUCCGCCCCUUAGUGCUGCAGCUAACGCAUUAAGCACUCCGCCUGGGGGAGUACGGUCGCAAGACUGAAACUCAAAGGAUUUGACGGGGCCCGCACAAGCGGUGGACAUGUGGUUUAAUUCGAAGCAACGCGAAGAACUUACCAGGUCUUGAUCU